RNAcentral lists this long non-coding RNA (354 nucleotides) under Drosophila guanche. Lineage: Eukaryota; Metazoa; Arthropoda; Insecta; Diptera; Drosophilidae. The record is from RNAcentral.
CUCUUGUUGGUCAAUGAUUGGUAACCAAUGUUCAGAUGGGGGCUUGAAAUUUAUAGACUUGAAUUUUUUAAUUUGACCUAAAUUUGUCAAAAGGCUUGAUUGAUGCAAACAAUUGCCCCGCAUAAUCUGUUCAAGUUUAUCUACUAAAUGGUUUGACUCCUUUAUUAAGUCAUCGAUGGACUGCAGCAGCGCAUACCAAUCAAUUUUCAUGGUUCCUAUAACUGAAUUGCCCCUCAAGUUAAAAGGAACCGGUUCGAAACUGCGCCACUGAUUGUAAGGCUCUAUAAUGUAAGGUAUAAAAUGUCGAUCAGAUUCCAUUUCAACUAGAUCAUCAUCGAAAUUCCACGAGUCUAG